Molecule: ribosomal RNA, 443 nt
Filed under: uncultured bacterium
Lineage: Bacteria
Description: bacterial SSU rRNA
Rfam family: Bacterial small subunit ribosomal RNA
Source: RNAcentral
GUUUGAUCCUGGCUCAUAGCGAACGUUAGCGGCAGGCUUAACACAUGCAAGUCGAGCGACAAAGGGGCUUCGGCCCUGAGUAGAGCGGCGGACGGGUGCGUAACACGUGGAUAAUCUGCCUCGUGGCGGGGGAUAACAGUCCGAAAGGACUGCUAAUACCGCAUGUCAGGUCGGAAACCCUGGUUUCUGACGAAAAAGAGGGCGCCCGCAAGGGGCUCUCACCACGAGAUGAGUCCGCGGCCCAUCAGCUAGUUGGCGGUGUAAUAGACCACCAAGGCUAAGACGGGUAGCUGGUCUGAGAGGAUGACCAGCCACACUGGGACUGAGACACGGCCCCAGACUCCUACGGGAGGCAGCAGUGGGGGAAUAUUGGACAAUGGGCGAAAGCCUGAUCCAGCCAUGCCGCGUGAGUGAUGAAGGGUCUUCGGAUCGUAAAGCUCUGU